Molecule: ribosomal RNA, 467 nt
Filed under: uncultured bacterium
Lineage: Bacteria
Description: partial 16S ribosomal RNA
Rfam family: Bacterial small subunit ribosomal RNA
Source: RNAcentral
GACGAACGCUGGCGGCGUGCUUAACACAUGCAAGUCGAACGGAAAGGCCCUGCUUUUGUGGGGUGCUCGAGUGGCGAACGGGUGAGUAACACGUGAGUAACCUGCCCUUGACUUUGGGAUAACUUCAGGAAACUGGGGCUAAUACCGGAUAGGAGCUCCUGCUGCAUGGUGGGGGUUGGAAAGUUUCGGCGGUUGGGGAUGGACUCGCGGCUUAUCAGCUUGUUGGUGGGGUAGUGGCUUACCAAGGCUUUAACGGGUAGCCGGCCUGAGAGGGUGACCGGCCACAUUGGGACUGAGAUACGGCCCAGACUCCUACGGGAGGCAGCAGUGGGGAAUAUUGCACAAUGGGCGGAAGCCUGAUGCAGCAACGCCGCGUGCGGGAUGACGGCCUUCGGGUUGGAAACCGCUUUCGCCUGUGACGAAGCGUGAGUGACGGUAAUGGGUAAAGAAGCACCGGCUAACUACGU